RNAcentral lists this ribosomal RNA (740 nucleotides) under Lactobacillus delbrueckii subsp. bulgaricus. RNAcentral's name for it is "bacterial SSU rRNA". It matches the Rfam family "Bacterial small subunit ribosomal RNA", at positions 694 to 1434 of the family's 1533-position model. The record is from RNAcentral. Lineage: Bacteria; Bacillati; Bacillota; Bacilli; Lactobacillales; Lactobacillaceae.
AUAUAUGGAAGAACACCAGUGGCGAAGGCGGCUCUCUGGUCUGCAACUGACGCUGAGGCUCGAAAGCAUGGGUAGCGAACAGGAUUAGAUACCCUGGUAGUCCAUGCCGUAAACGAUGAGCGCUAGGUGUUGGGGACUUUCCGGUCCUCAGUGCCGCAGCAAACGCAUUAAGCGCUCCGCCUGGGGAGUACGACCGCAAGGUUGAAACUCAAAGGAAUUGACGGGGGCCCGCACAAGCGGUGGAGCAUGUGGUUUAAUUCGAAGCAACGCGAAGAACCUUACCAGGUCUUGACAUCCUGCGCUACACCUAGAGAUAGGUGGUUCCCUUCGGGGACGCAGAGACAGGUGGUGCAUGGCUGUCGUCAGCUCGUGUCGUGAGAUGUUGGGUUAAGUCCCGCAACGAGCGCAACCCUUGUCUUUAGUUGCCAUCAUUAAGUUGGGCACUCUAAAGAGACUGCCGGUGACAAACCGGAGGAAGGUGGGGAUGACGUCAAGUCAUCAUGCCCCUUAUGACCUGGGCUACACACGUGCUACAAUGGGCAGUACAACGAGAAGCGAACCCGCGAGGGUAAGCGGAUCUCUUAAAGCUGUUCUCAGUUCGGACUGCAGGCUGCAACUCGCCUGCACGAAGCUGGAAUCGCUAGUAAUCGCGGAUCAGCACGCCGCGGUGAAUACGUUCCCGGGCCUUGUACACACCGCCCGUCACACCAUGGAAGUCUGCAAUGCCCAAAGUCGGUGGG